Molecule: ribosomal RNA, 432 nt
Filed under: uncultured bacterium
Lineage: Bacteria
Description: partial 16S ribosomal RNA
Rfam family: Bacterial small subunit ribosomal RNA
Source: RNAcentral
ACGAACGCUGGCGGCAGGCUUAACACAUGCAAGUCGCACGCACCUUUCGGGGUGAGUGGCAGACGGGUGAGUAACGCGUGGGAAUCUACCCUUCUCUACGGGAUAGCUCCGGGAAACUGGAAUUAAUACCGUAUACGUCCUGAGGGAGAAAGAUUUAUCGGGGAAGGAUGAGCCCGCGUUGGAUUAGCUAGUUGGUGGGGUAAAGGCCUACCAAGGCGACGAUCCAUAGCUGGUCUAAGAGGAUGAUCAGCCACAUUGGGACUGAGACACGGCCCAAACUCCUACGGGAGGCAGCAGUGGGGAAUAUUGGACAAUGGGCGCAAGCCUGAUCCAGCCAUGCCGCGUGAGUGAUGAAGGCCCUAGGGUUGUAAAGCUCUUUCAGUGGGGACGAUAAUGACGGUACCCACAGAAGAAGCCCCGGCUAACUUCGUG